Small nuclear RNA from Octodon degus (degu), 126 nucleotides. The record is from Ensembl. Lineage: Eukaryota; Metazoa; Chordata; Mammalia; Rodentia; Octodontidae.
GUGUUGUAUGAAAAGAGAGAAGGUUAACACUCCCCUUGAGAAGGAUAUAAGAGGUCUUUGGGCCUGACAAGACCUGCAUGGUUAAGGCAUUGGCACCUUCUUCAUAAUAUCUAAGCACUUUUUUUA